AUUGAACGCUGGCGGCAGGCCUAACACAUGCAAGUCGAACGGUAACAGGAAGCAGCUUGCUGCUUCGCUGACGAGUGGCGGACGGGUGAGUAAUGUCUGGGAAGCUGCCCGAUGGAGGGGGAUAACUACUGGAAACGGUAGCUAAUACCGCAUAAUGUCGCAAGACCAAAGAGGGGGACCUUCGGGCCUCUUGCCAUCGGAUGUGCCCAGAUGGGAUUAGCUUGUGGGUGGGGUAACGGCUCACCAAGGCGACGAUCCCUAGCUGGUCUGAGAGGAUGACCAGCCACACUGGAACUGAGACACGGUCCAGACUCCUACGGGAGGCAGCAGUGGGGAAUAUUGCACAAUGGGCGCAAGCCUGAUGCAGCCAUGCCGCGUGUAUGAAGAAGGCCUUCGGGUUGUAAAGUACUUUCAGCGGGGAGGAAGGGAGUAAAGUUAAUACCUUUGCUCAUUGACGUUACCCGCAGAAGAAGCAACGGCUAACUCCGUG
This 490-nucleotide ribosomal RNA is filed under the name uncultured bacterium. RNAcentral describes it as "partial 16S ribosomal RNA". It matches the Rfam family "Bacterial small subunit ribosomal RNA", at positions 30 to 507 of the family's 1533-position model. The record is from RNAcentral.